UAUACAUACUAGCUCUGAGGUGGUGGUGCCUCUCCCCAUGAUGAGUACAUGACAGAUAUUUCUGAGCUUUUUUGGCCAAAUUUAACCACACCAGCCAACAGCAUCAAAAACAGGCUUUUUGAGUGAUUCUAAGCCAUCAGGGAAGAAUUUUAAAUACAUUUAGCCCUUGAGACAAUGCGAAGAAACAGGAAAGAGGUGAAGGUGAGAGAGACAAAAAUAUGCAUAACACCUUAGGGCAAGAUCUAAGUAUAACAGAAACAAACGGACAAGCAAAAACCCAAACUAUCUGGUCUCUUGGUUAAAGUCACACUUUCUGAAAACACUGAUUCCAAACAUUCAAAUCCUACUGACCACCCAGAGGAAAGUUCCCGGAGAUUCCAUGUAGUCCCAACAGUGGGCAGAACAGUUUCCUGUGGAGUCUAGGGAGCUACAGCUUCUCCCUGGGGACCAGAAUAAUAUUUCAUAUAUAUUCUGAAUAUAUAUGAAAUAAAUGUAUGCAUGUAGGAGAAGUUGGAGAGUUUACUUUAAAAAAUCUGUAGGGACUCUGGAGGACUGCUCUUCACAGGUCCACAGCUGUUUGGGGUUUCAAAUGCACAGGUU
This 600-nucleotide long non-coding RNA is filed under the name Pan troglodytes (chimpanzee). RNAcentral's name for it is "long non-coding RNA NONPTRT012114". Lineage: Eukaryota; Metazoa; Chordata; Mammalia; Primates; Hominidae. The record is from RNAcentral.